Molecule: ribosomal RNA, 411 nt
Filed under: uncultured bacterium
Lineage: Bacteria
Description: bacterial SSU rRNA
Rfam family: Bacterial small subunit ribosomal RNA
Source: RNAcentral
CGAGUAAAGUGGCGAAAGGGUGAGUAACACGUGAGGAACCUGCCCCCUGGUUCGGAACAAGCCUGUGAAAACGGGUCUGAAACCGGAUGAGGCCCCUCCCGCAUGGGGAGUCGGCCAAAUAUUCAUAGCCAAGGGAUGGCCUCGCGGCCAUUAGCUUGUUGCGGGUGACGGCCACCAAGGCUACGACGGGUAGGUGGUCUGAGAGGAUGGUCACCCACACUGGGACUGAGACACUGCCCAGACUCCUACGGGAGGCUGCAGUCGAGAAUCUUCCGCAAUGGGCGCAAGCCCUGACGGAGCGAUGCCGCGUGAGGGACGAAGGCCUUCGGGUCGUAAACCUCUGUCGAGGGGAACGAACGCAAUGACGGUACCCCUCAAGGAAGCCACGGCUAACCACGUGCCAGCAGCCGC